GCUGGGGGCUCAGGAUGCAAGGCCCAGUUGAGGGGUGGGAAGGAUGGGGGUUCUGGGGCCCCAUGGGACUAGAAGCUGUACAAGAGACAGUCACUGCCCCAGAGGGUUUACAGUCUAUCUAGACAAGACAAAGUAUUAUCCCCAUUUUACAGCUGGGCGCUGAGGCAUGGAGAAAUUAAAGCUCAGAUCCUCACAGGUAUUUUAAAUCAAUAGGCGUUAGGCACCUGAAUACCUUUGAAGACAUGAGCCUAAGGUCGGGUCGACACUUAACGAUUAGAUCAACCUAGCUAUGUCGCACAGGGUGAUGAAAAACUUCGUACCCUCAACAACACAGGGCGACUAACCCCGGUACAGAUGCAACUCGGUUGACAGAAGAUCAACCUAGCUACCGCCUCUCAGAGAAGUGGAUUAACUACAUUGAUGGAAAAACCUCUACUGUCGAUGUAGAAAGUGUACACUGUGCUGUUGUAGCGGCUACGGUGUACACAUGGCCUAAAUGACUUGCCCAAUGUCAAACAGGGAAGCUGUGGCAGAGUUGGUGACUAAAAGAUUUUCUGCGAGAGCAUCUUUCCUAAGAAAAAGCCAUGGCAGCUAACUUCAGCCCAAAAUAUCCCUGGGCAGGCUGAAGGAAUUAAAACCAGUCGAUAUUUCAUGGGCUCAUUCCAGCUGGUGAAUGAAAUCUACUAUUCCCGUCACAGCAACUCUGCUUCGGACACAUUCAAGAGGGAGGCUGCGAAGCUGGAGAACGUGAUCGCUGGUGCGUUUGGUAGGAGUGCCCUGAACAAGAGCUACCAGGGCUUGGCUGUGCUGGCAUUGAGGUAGGUGCAGUAGCCUGGUGUAUUUCACAAUGCUGGCUCAUCACACAACCGCGUGGGGGCGACGGACCUGUCUGGUUUUAAGAUUAAGUUAGAUAAGUUUAUGGAGGGAAUGGUUUAAUGGUAAAACAUAGUAGCCAAGGAAUACCAAGCAAUGGUGGGUAAAUAAUAUAAUGGCUAACAGAGGUCAGGCUAGAGACUCUUGCCUAAAUGCUCGGGGUCUUACUGAUCGCCAUAUUUGGGGUCGGGAAGGAAUUUUCCUCCAGGGGUAGAUUGGCUGAGCCUCUGGAGGUUUUUCGCCUUCCUCCGCAGCAUGGGGCAGGGAUCUCUAGCAGGAGGGUCUCUGCCAAUUGAAGUCACUAAAACACAGGAUUGGGGACUUCAACAGCAGAGUCCAGGGAAGGGGUAGGGACGGUUUUGUGGCCUGCAGCAUGCAGGGGGUCAGACCAGAUGAUCAUAAUGGUCCCUUCUGACCUUAAAGUCUAUGAGUCUAUGAGAACCGCAGUCUUGCCACUGUGUUGACAGUAGUGGUGGGCAGACUCCCCAAUUUUGGGAAGCUUAAUCAAUUUGGCUGCAAAUCUUCUGAGAGCCCCUGGCUCAGAAAUGCGGUAGGAGUUGUGAUCCUGAUAAGAAUCCCAGGCCUUCUACUUUGUGAGGUGCAGAAGGGCAGGAAAAUGACCCAAACAAACCCAAAGCUCAAACAAGCGUCUUCGAUCAAGUGUUCAGUCAGGUUCGUAUUUGAUCAGAACCAGUACAACAUCCUUAGUGGACACAGCCACCUUUCCUGAACACACAAUGUACGGACAUUCGUCUCCACAAAAAUUCAU
Molecule: long non-coding RNA, 1642 nt
Organism: Chrysemys picta bellii (western painted turtle)
Lineage: Eukaryota; Metazoa; Chordata; Testudines; Emydidae
Source: Ensembl